AAGAGUUCGAAACCAGCCUGAGCAAGAGCACUGUGCGAGAGGCUGGGGACACAGCGGCCGUUGAGAUUCUGGUCCUGCCCCGAAGAAACGCAGUCCACGAUCCCCUCAGACCAUCAGACAAGCAAUCGCAAUGCAGCGCCAUGGAUAGCGCACCACAGGAUGUGGACGGGAGCACGGAGAGGAGACACAUGUGUCCAGAUCAGGGGGACCAAGGGGAGUGAUGUCAAAGGCUGCAAGUGCAACUGCCAUUGAAUCAACCAAACAAAAAAAUCUCAUGUGUGUGUUUGGUCCCUACUCCUCAAAUGAAGGUCAAGAUUUAAGAAGAACCAAUCUCUACCAUGAAAAAGAUCCAAACCCAAAAGAGGGUGAUUUUUCUUGAAAGUUGUUCACUGCAAUGAAAGUUUCUACGUUUGAGAUACGAGGUUCAAGGAGAAUAAAACCAUCAGCUGAUGCAGGCUUUCUUUUUUUCUUUAAGUUUCCAGAGAAAGGAAAGCGAGUUUCCACCGCACUUCCAUUUUCCACCGGCUUCCUCAGGGUGUCAGACGAGCCUCGGGGACAGCCGUCCGGCUCAGGGAAGAAAGUGACUCACACGUCACUCUCGGGCGUCAGUGUGUGCGGGAGAGGGGCUGGGGGGGCGAGACUGCCCCGGCCGCAGGGCAACUCUGCUCCUAGGAAGGAGGCGCAGCGGGCACUCGGCGCCCGGGCUCCCGGCCCCGAGAACGCCCGCGCGAGCUAGUCCCAAAGC
Microcebus murinus (gray mouse lemur) is the source of this 745-nucleotide non-coding RNA. The record is from RefSeq and is a predicted model, not a curated record. NCBI's taxonomy places the organism in Eukaryota, Metazoa, Chordata, Mammalia, Primates, Cheirogaleidae.